Molecule: ribosomal RNA, 253 nt
Filed under: uncultured bacterium
Lineage: Bacteria
Description: partial 16S ribosomal RNA
Rfam family: Bacterial small subunit ribosomal RNA
Source: RNAcentral
UACGAAGGGGGCUAGCGUUGCUCGGAAUCACUGGGCGUAAAGCGCACGUAGGCGGACUCUUAAGUCGGUGGUGAAAUCCUGGAGCUCAACUCCAGAACUGCCUUCGAUACUGGGAGUCUCGAGUCCGGGAGAGGUGAGUGGAACUGCGAGUGUAGAGGUGAAAUUCGUAGAUAUUCGCAAGAACACCAGUGGCGAAGGCGGCUCACUGGCCCGGUACUGACGCUGAGGCGCGAAAGCUAGGGUAGCAAACGGG